UCGGGAAUUUUGGGCAAUGGGCGAAAGCCUGACCCAGCAACGCCGCGUGAGGGAUGAAGUAUUUCGGUAUGUAAACCUCGAAAGAAUGGGAAGAAUAAAUGACGGUACCAUUUAUAAGCUCCGGCUAACUACGUGCCAGCAGCCGCGGUAAUACGUAGGGAGCAAGCGUUGUUCGGAUUCACUGGGUUUAAAGGGUGCGUAGGUGGGCAGAUAAGUCAGUGGUGAAAUCUUCCGGCUUAACCGGGAAACUGCCGUUGAUACUAUUUGUCUUGAAUAUUGCGGAGGUAAGCGGAAUAUGUCAUGUAGCGGUGAAAUGCUUAGAUAUGACAUAGAACACCAAUUGCGAAGGCAGCUUACUACACAAUCAUUGACACUGAGGCACGAAAGCGUGGGUAGCGAACA
This 402-nucleotide ribosomal RNA is filed under the name uncultured bacterium. RNAcentral describes it as "bacterial SSU rRNA". It matches the Rfam family "Bacterial small subunit ribosomal RNA", at positions 355 to 774 of the family's 1533-position model. The record is from RNAcentral.